AGAGAGAGACAUGCGCGCAUAUCAAUAAGCGGAGGAAAAGAAACUAACUAGGAUUCCCUCAGUAACGGCGAGUGAAGCGGGAAGAGCUCAAAUUUGAAAUCUUCAAGGUUUUACCUUGACGAAUUGUAGUUUAAAGAAGUGUUUUCUGUUGGCGUUUUGGUAAAAGUUCUUUGGAAUAGGACAUCAUAGAGGGUGAGAAUCCCGUAUUUGACCAUUACUUCCAGCUGUUGUGAUACACUUUCAACGAGUCGGAUUGUUUGGGAAUGCAGUCCAAAAUGGGUGGUAAAUUUCAUCUAAAGCUAAAUAUUGGCGAGAGACCGAUAGCGAACAAGUACCGUGAGGGAAAGAUGAAAAGAACUUUGAAAAGAGAGUUAAACAGUACGUGAAAUUGUCAAAAGGGAAGCGUUUGACACCAGUGUUGUUUUUCCGAAAAUCAAUUACGAAUGUUUUAUUUUUGAGGAGUUAUGACUUCAUCGGCUUGCUCCUUUCUUUAUGAAACUUUCUUAAUGCACUUUUCGGUUAACAAGUCAACAUCAAUUUCUUUUGUUGUAAAAGGGUAUGAGGAAGGUGGCUUUCUUUUCGGAGAAAGUGUUUAUAGCCUUGUGCCUCUGCAAUCGGAGAGAUUGAGGUCUGCAGCGUAGAUCCUUCGGGGUUAGAUACAUUUGUGCUAAGUUAUAGCUUUUCAUAGACAACUUGUUGACUAUGUUUAGUCUUGUAGCUUACUCGCUUACUGCUAUAUUACCUACGCUUAGGAUGUUGAUAGUCACAGCGUGUAC
This 776-nucleotide ribosomal RNA is filed under the name uncultured Neocallimastigales. RNAcentral describes it as "partial large subunit ribosomal RNA". It matches the Rfam family "Eukaryotic large subunit ribosomal RNA", at positions 23 to 644 of the family's 3401-position model. The record is from RNAcentral. Lineage: Eukaryota; Fungi; Neocallimastigomycota; Neocallimastigomycetes; Neocallimastigales.